AAGUUGUGCUAUGAACUGUUUCUGUUGAGGCCAAUAGAACAGUCCUUGGAUCUUGUGAGCAGUAACUCUACCGCCAGAGUGACCCCCAAAUAAUGGGUAUUAGAGCAGGAUACCCACCUCCUCCACCUCCUCGCGUCGUUGCUGUACUGAUCCUGACAGCCGGCCGUCGCCUCCCCCACCUCCUCGCAUCGCUGGCGACCCCUCGCGGCGCCUCCCAACCUCCUGCGUGUUAGCCACCGCCCUCCCCCAGCCCCCCGCACACUCCCGGCGGGGCCCUACGCCGCCUCUCCAUCUCCUGCGCGCCGCCAGCGUACAUCCGGUCCGCAUCCCAAAUUCCUCCGGUCCCGGCCAUGGUCGUUCGAGCACGAGAUCGCCGUUUCUUGGGUCGAGCACUUGGGCGCCACCGCGCUGUAAUUCCUCACCGAGUUGAUUGCGAUGGCGCUCGGGAUACUCUCACACUCACGGUGGUGCUCCCUGCGGACCGAGAGUAGUCCGACCUCCUGACUGCCGUCACCGUUGGACUGGAUUGUCGUCGCCUCUAGACUGGGCUGCCCGCACGCCCCUCUGGCUUCCUAAACAAGCAGGCCCUGGACUCCACUCGAACAGCCGCUGGAUCCCCGUCUACAUGAUACACAAAGGUUGUUUGUACCAAGACUGCAUCUUUAAUCUGUCCUUUCUAUCUGAUAAUAUUGUUGCACUUCACGGGUUGCAGAAAACGAGGCAGUGGGAGCGGAUGAAUCCUGUUAGAAGUUGCUUUCUUGAUCUAUUUACUGUCAGGUGGCCUAGCACAAAUCGCUCGAUAACAAUGGUGUUGUUGCACCUCUCCAUAGCCUUCCUCGUGUUCCUCCUCCCGACCGCGUUGAUGUGCCCCUUGAUACCGAAUCCAAGGCGUGUAUCCCCGUGGUCAUGGGCUGAGUGGCACGACGUGCUCACUUCACUGCUGCUUGUGGUGCCGCUUCCGCCAACGCAUCUAGGAUGGGAAGGUGAGCAUUCUCCUCCUUCCCAAGGCAUCCUGCAUAUGCAGGGGUGGUCUGUCCCAAACGCCUGAUUCAAGGCGUCCUUGAGGUGUGUGACUGGGCAUGGCCGUCGUCGAUAAGGCUGGACCUAGAUCCAGCAGUUUCUUCCAAUUCUAGCAAGGGUGGGCCAGAGACAUCACCUUGGCACUGCACGACAUCAUACUCUGUCAUUGGCACUCCUAGGCGAACAGGUGCAUUUUAUGUCAUUCUCAUAUGCAUUCUGGAAUGCCCAAUUCAGCCUGCGCACAUGAUGCUUUUGGAGUCUGGGAAAUGGAUGCUCCUGGAGUAAGAAAAUCUUUUGAACUGAAUUAUUUGUUUGCCCAAGUGCAAGUUUCAGUUUUCCAACGAAAAAUGUGUUUGUAAGACAGUCUUUUGACUGAUGGCAUAUUUUACUUAGACAAAAUGUUCAGAGCUGACAAAAACAUAAAGGGAUAUCCAUCUUUAGGAGAAUUUUUAUUUCAUACAAAGACGGAUUGGCUCUACGUGCAUGUAUAUAUUUACCGGGAUGUUCUUAUUUUGAUCAGAAAUUCAAUGCAUCUCCGUGUCUUAAUGUGUAAGUGUUGAGUAACAACUGCCGGACUGCAAGCUAGAGUUUGUUGUUAACGACUGUAAGAAUAUUGGCUAAUUUUAAUGUAACUCUUUCUUAAAAAAAGUGAAUGGGUGUCAAGUAUAUUCUUCAUUUCAUCGCGGACAAGUGUAAAACAAACUUUGCGAUGUGAUAACUAAAGGGGAAACCCCCAUGGGAUUUCAUUUCCUCAAAUAGUAGACUUCUUAUAUACUAAGUGGUUCCUUAAAGGUAUGUUCUACUACAAACUGGCAGUAGCAUGAUAUUUAUUUAUUCUUUCUUAAGCUAUACAAGGUGGUGAAGUUUCACAUCGUGUUUCCUCUGUAUUCUUGAUUCCUAUAUAUGGCACAUCUUAGGAAUUCUGGCGGAAUAUUAUACUCUACUACCUUCCUGCCGAAAUCUCUGGGUUAGCUUGGAGGAGAUUGUUGAUGUGACUAUCUCGCGUUAUUCCAUUUACCAAGAUGACAUUUUUCUUUUCAGGAUUUGGAUUUGUUUUUCUGAACACGGUGCUUUUUGCCUCCAUGGGUGUGGCCUAUCAAUAAGAGGAUUUCAAAAUAGUCCUACUUCGAAGUUGGCAUGUUCGAAGGAGGGCCUAUACCAGGUGAUCAUCAUCCAACACAUGAGUUAAUCCUUGAUUUACUACUACUAACUAUGAACUAUAGUGAUUCCUCACUGUUCUGAAACUGAUUGAAAGCAAUCUUAGGCUGUGUUGAGUUGUUUGUGGCAACUUGCUCACCUCCACGAGAGCCCAACUCGACAUGCAUUGUUGAUGUAGAGUGUUUCUCCAUUGUAAUAAUUUGGAUUAAUUUUGCCAAGGUUGGAACUUGGAACAUGGAAGCUUACUGCUAUUUACAAUAUUGUCACACCGUGGGGAGUGGGGACGUCCUUGCAGCAGAGCAUGGUAGAGCAACCUUUUGGCAAAGGUUGACCUGUCUUUGAUUCAAGCUGUAAGGUAUUAGAUUGAUUGUUCAUCCGUACUUCUCAUAUAUGGUUUUGUGCUUGUGCUUUUGUUCUCAGGCGUCAGGGUAAAAUCUGCAGCAGGGAGAACCUCCCUUUGGAGAUGCAGAGCGGAGGGGAUCUGUACAUAGACGUCCACAAGGAAUAUGCAAGCUAGCUGCAAUUGCUCUAGGAGAUCUGUUGGAUUCAAACACAAGACAGUGUUUGCAAACAUUUUAGCAUCAAAAUUGUUUGCACAUCUUAGGGAUGGUACUCUGGAAAUGCAUUUGUAGAACGAGUUUUUGGCUCCAGUCAACUAAACACAUAACUAGGCCUAUUACCCAAAAGAGGCCACACGUUUGCAUCUAUUUAUUUUAUGUGCAAGAUUAAAAUAAAACAAGAAAAAACUAAAUGUUGU
Molecule: non-coding RNA, 2935 nt
Organism: Lolium perenne
Lineage: Eukaryota; Viridiplantae; Streptophyta; Magnoliopsida; Poales; Poaceae
Source: RefSeq, a predicted model, not a curated record